GUGGGGAAUCUUAGACAAUGGGGGAAACCCUGAUCUAGCCAUGCCGCGUGAGCGAUGAAGGCCUUAGGGUUGUAAAGCUCUUUCAGCUGGGAAGAUAAUGACGGUACCAGCAGAAGAUGCCCCGGCUAACUCCGUGCCAGCAGCCGCGGUAAUACGGAGGGGGCUAGCGUUGUUCGGAAUUACUGGGCGUAAAGCGCGCGUAGGCGGACCAGAAAGUUGGAGGUGAAAUCCCAGGGCUCAACCUUGGAACUUCCUUCAAAACUCCUGGUCUGGAGUUCGAGAGAGGUGAGUGGAAUUCCGAGUGUAGAGGUGAAAUUCGUAGAUAUUCGGAGGAACACCAGUGGCGAAGGCGGCUCACUGGCUCGAUACUGACGCUGAGGUGCGAAAGCGUGGGGAGCAAACAGGAUUAGAUACCCGGGUAGUCC
This 425-nucleotide ribosomal RNA is filed under the name uncultured bacterium. RNAcentral's name for it is "partial 16S ribosomal RNA". It matches the Rfam family "Bacterial small subunit ribosomal RNA", at positions 354 to 796 of the family's 1533-position model. The record is from RNAcentral.